CCCCUGUCCGUUUGUAUGGUCUCUUUCCUUUGAUGACAGAGAAUUUGAGUUGAAACUGAAGCAGAACAACAAUGGAGCACAACCUCCGAUAAUCAUGAGAAUUCAUCUUCAUCAGCACUGUUGUCAAGCACGUGAACUUCCUCAAGUGACGGAACAACAAUGGAGCACAAACUCCGAUAAUCUUGAGAAUUCAUCUUCAUCAGCACUCUUGUCAGGCAGGUGAAAUUCCUCGAGUGACGGAACAACAAUGGAGCACAACCUCUGAUAAUCUUGAGAAUUCAUCUUCAUCAGCACUGUUGUCAGGCAGGUGAACUUCCUUGAGUGACGGAUUUGCCUAUUUAUUCAUCUGUUGAAUAUGAUCAUCAUCUAUGAAUGUGUGCAUUUCAUCUUCAGGAGCUUAUUCAGGGGAACCUCUUCAUCAGCACUGUUGUCAAGCACGUGAACGUCCUCAAGUGACGGAACAACAAUGGAGCACAACCUCCGAUAAUCUUGAGAAUUCAUCUUCAUCAGCACUGUUGUCAAGCACGUGAACUUCCUCAAGUGACGGAACAACAAUGGAGCACAACCUCCGAUAAUCUUGAGAAUUCAUAUUCAUCAGCACUCUUGUCAGGCAGGUGAACUUCCUCGAGUGACGGAAAAACAAUGGAGCACAACCUCUGAUAAUCUUGAGAAUUCAUCUUCAUCGGCACUGUUGUCAGGCAGGUGAACUUCCUCGAGUGACGGAACAACAAUGGAGCACAACCUCUGAUAAUCUUGAUAAUUCAUCUUCAGCACUGUUGUCAGGCAGGUGAACUUCCUUGAGUGACGGAUUUGCCUAUUUAUUCAUCUGUUAAAUAUGAUCAUCAUCUAUUAAUGUGUGUAUUUCAUCUUCAGGAGCUUAUUCAUGGGAACCUCUUAAUCAACUCUGUUGUCAAGCACGUGAACUUCCUUAAGUGGCGGAACAACAAUGGAGCACAACCUCUGAUAAUCUUGAGAAUUCAUCUUCAUCAGCACUGUUGUCAAGCACGUGAACUUCUUCAAGUGACGGAACAACAAUGGACCACAAACUCCGAUAAUCUUGAGAAAUUAUUUUCAUCAGCACUCUUGUCAGGCAGGUGAACUUCCUCGAGUGACGGAACAACAAUGGAGCACAACCUCUGAUAAUCUUGAUAAUUCAUCUUCAGCACUGUUGUCAGGCAGGUGAACUUCCUUGAGUGACGGAUUUGCCUAUUUAUUCAUCUGUUGAAUAUGAUCAUCAUCUAUUAAUGUGUGUAUUUCAUCUUCAGGAGCUUAUUCAUGGGAACCUCUUAAUCAACUCUGUUGUCAAGCACGUGAACUUCCUUAAGUGGCGGAACAACAAUGAAGCACAACCUCCGAUAAUCUUGAGAAUUCAUCAUCAUCAGCACUCUUGUCAGGCAGGUGAACUUCCUCGAGUGACGGAACAACAAUGGAGCACAACCUCUGAUAAUCUUGAGAAUUCAUCUUCAUCAGCACUGUUGUCAGGCAGGUGAACUUCCUCGAGUGACGGAUUUGCCUAUUUAUUCAUCUGUUGAAUAUGAUCAUCAUCUAUGAAUGUGUGCAUUUCAUCUUCAGGAGUUUAUUCAGGGGAACCUCUUCAUCAGCACUGUUGUCAAGCACGUCAAGAACGUGAAUGUCCUCAAGUGACGGAACAACAAUGGAGCAUAACCUCCGAUAAUCUUGAGAAUUCAUCUUCAUCAGCCGUCUUGUCAGGCACGUGGACUUCCUCAAGUGACGGAACAACAAUGGAGCACAACCUCAAUCUUGAGAAUUCAUCUUCAUCAGCACUCUUGUCAGGCACGUGAACUUCCUCAAGUGACGGAACAAAAAUGGAGCACAACCUCCGAUAAUCUUGAGAAUUCAUCUUCAUCAGCACUGUUGUCAAGUACGUAAACUUCCUCAAGUGACGGAACAACAAUGGACCACAAACUCCGAUAAUCUUGAGAAUUCAUCUUCAUCAGCACUCUUGUCAGGCAGGUGAACUUCCUCGAGUGACGGAACAACAAUGGAGCACAACCUCUGAUAAUCUUGAUAAUUCAUCUUCAGCACUGUUGUCAGGCAGGUGAACUUCCUUGAGCGACGGAUUUGCCUAUUUAUUCAUCUGUUGAAUAUGAUCAUCAUCUAUUAAUGUGUGUAUUUCAUCUUCAGGAGCUUAUUCAUGGGAACCUCUUAAUCAACUCUGUUGUCAAGCACGUGAACUUCCUUAAGUGGCGGAACAACAAUGGAGCACAACCUCCGAUAAUCUUGAGAAUUCAUCAUCAUCAGCACUCUUGUCAGGCAGGUGAACUUCCUCGAGUGACGGAACAACAAUGGAGCACAACCUCUGAUAAUCUUGAGAAUUCAUCUUCAUCAGCACUGUUGUCAGGCAGGUGAACUUCCUCGAGUGACGGA
Long non-coding RNA from Homalodisca vitripennis (glassy-winged sharpshooter), 2388 nucleotides. RefSeq lists it as uncharacterized. The record is from RefSeq and is a predicted model, not a curated record. Lineage: Eukaryota; Metazoa; Arthropoda; Insecta; Hemiptera; Cicadellidae. The transcript has 2 exons.